GAAAAUCAGAGCAAAAUAUGGGCUCCCUUUGGGUUUCUUUUCGGAGGACGCAGACAACCGUAUGGCUACAGAUAAAGAUGGAAAGAAGUCUGCUGACAUGAAGAAAGGUCUCAUUUCUUGUCAUCGUUGUUUGAUAUACUUGGGUGAUCUUGCUCGCUACAAAGGGUUAUAUGGGGAAGGCGAUUCAAAAAAUCGGGAGUAUGCUGCAGCUUCAAGUUACUACCUGCAAGCAUCGUCACUUUGGCCAUCAAGUGGCAAUCCUCAUCAUCAGCUUGCUAUAUUAGCUUCA
Molecule: unclassified non-coding RNA, 289 nt
Filed under: Hevea brasiliensis (rubber tree)
Lineage: Eukaryota; Viridiplantae; Streptophyta; Magnoliopsida; Malpighiales; Euphorbiaceae
Source: RNAcentral